CAAUGACAGCCACAAAGGGAUGCGAACCUGCAGGGGGAGCGAACCCAGAAAAGCUGUCCCAGUUCGGAUUGUAGUCUGCAACCCGACUACAUGAAGCUGGAAUCGCUAGUAAUCGCGAAUCAGAAUGUCGCGGUGAAUACGUUCCCGGGUCUUGUACACACCGCCCGUCACACCAUGGGAGCCGGGGGUGCUUGAAGGCCGUGACCGCGAGGAGCGGCCUAGGGUAAAACUGGUGACUGGGGCUAAGUCGUAACAAGGUACC
RNAcentral lists this ribosomal RNA (262 nucleotides) under uncultured bacterium. RNAcentral describes it as "partial 16S ribosomal RNA". It matches the Rfam family "Bacterial small subunit ribosomal RNA", at positions 1228 to 1500 of the family's 1533-position model. The record is from RNAcentral.